GGGAGAUCCGAGGGCCUCAUCUCGCAUCUCUGCGUUCUCUGACUGGAGAAGGAUGCUUCCCUUUGCUCCCCAGCGGACCUCUGGGGCCUUCUUCGGGCUCCAAGCACUCUGGGCAGGAGGACCGUUGUCCGGCCGACGUGGAAAGGCUCCUUGAACAACAAAGUCUUGUCUCAUCCCAAAGGGACACAGUGCUCCUGCUGAGAAACCCUGCUCUAGGGGACAAUCUCAAGCACCCAGAAGGCUACAAAACUCAGCGCUCUCCUUGCCCUGGGCCUGGCUCAGUCUUCUGGAUUUGGUUUCAGACUUGGCCAACAUCCCUCUACUAUCUUCCCAGCUGGUGUUCAAGAAUAGCCCCUCUCCACUGGAUUCAGGAUCCCACACUAAACCACAGCUUCCCAUCUGGGGACUUCCCUGUUCAGCUUCCUCAGACCGUCCUCUCCCCGGUUCCUGAUGAAGGCCGUCUGCGUAGAACCUGCCUCUGGACUCAGGAAGCGCAAGCCUUUCCUUCCUUCUCGAAUCGUAAGUGACCACAACGUCCUGUUUGCUUUGCAGCACCUAAUACGUAAACUUUUAUUAUGGGAGUGUGUGAUCGCAGGUUGUAUUUUUAGUAGAUUUAUUGAAUUGGUAAAUAUGUAUUUAAUGUCAACUAUGUUUCAAGAAGACUCAUCGCUGCCAAAUGCACAGAAGUGAGAGAAAUCAGAUCACUUCCUGUACAGAGUUCGCAUUCCAAGGGGGCUGGGAGACAACACAGAAGAAAGUGAAGAAAAACUCGAGAUUAUGUGAGCUAAUGAGCUAAGAAGACGAUAAUUCAAGGGGUUUGAAGACUUGGAGGUGGCGGGGCGUGCAUGGGGCUUGCUGAUUUAAUAAGGUAGUGAGGAAAAGGGCAUCUGAGGGGAAAAUGUUGGAGAUCCUCAAAACCUUGAGUUCAAAGACUCUCCCCCCCCCUUUUUUUUUUGCUUUUUUAGGGUCGCACCCAUGGCCUAUGA
Molecule: non-coding RNA, 986 nt
Organism: Sus scrofa (pig)
Lineage: Eukaryota; Metazoa; Chordata; Mammalia; Artiodactyla; Suidae
Source: RefSeq, a predicted model, not a curated record